Molecule: non-coding RNA, 93 nt
Organism: Rhodofomes roseus
Lineage: Eukaryota; Fungi; Basidiomycota; Agaricomycetes; Polyporales; Fomitopsidaceae
Source: the annotation of a RefSeq genome assembly
GGCCCAAUGGUCUAGUCGUAUGAUUCGCGCUUCGGGCAGUGAUCCCGCUGAUUUGAUUGCGCGAGGUCCCGGGUUCAAUUCCCGGUUGGGCCC